This 1228-nucleotide ribosomal RNA is filed under the name metagenome. Its description in RNAcentral is "SSU rRNA". It matches the Rfam family "Eukaryotic small subunit ribosomal RNA", at positions 506 to 1758 of the family's 1831-position model. The record is from RNAcentral.
UUAUCGGAAUGAGAACAAUUCAAAUCCUUUAACGAGGAUCUAGCGGAGGGCAAGUCUGGUGCCAGCAGCCGCGGUAAUUCCAGCUCCGCAGGUGUAUAUCUAUGCUGCUGCGGUUAAAAAGCUCGUAGUUGGAUCUGCGUGCUCGGAACUGGUUGGCUCACUGAGUUCAAACUGGUCUCCGCCGCUUUAUUGGCUGGUUUUCCCUUGAUGCUCUUAACCGGGUGUCUUGGGUGGCUAGCACGUUUACUUUGAAAAAAUUAGAGUGCUCAAUACGGGCGUAAAGCCUUGAAUAGUGGUGCAUGGAAUAAUAGAAUAGGACCUCGGCUCUAUUUUGUUGGUUUUCGGAACGCGAGGUAAUGAUUAAGAGGGACAGACGGUGGCAUUCGUAUUGCGACGUUAGAGGUGAAAUUCUUGGAUCGUCGCAAGACGGACGACUGCGAAAGCAUUUGCCAAGAAUGUUUUCAUUAAUCAAGAACGAAAGUUAGAGGUUCGAAGGCGAUCAGAUACCGCCCUAGUUCUAACCGUAAACGAUGCCAACUAGCGAUUCGCAGGCGUUAAACAACGACCUUGCGGGCAGCUUCCCGGAAACGAAAGUGUUCGGGUUCCGGGGGAAGUAUGGUUGCAAAGCUGAAACUUAAAGGAAUUGACGGAAGGGCACCACCAGGAGUGGAGCCUGCGGCUUAAUUUGACCCAACACGGGAAAACUCACCCGGCCCGGACACCGUAAGGAUUGACAGAUUGAGAGCUCUUUCUUGAUUCGGUGGGUGGUGGUGCAUGGCCGUUCUUAGUUGGUGGAGCGAUUUGUCUGGUUUAUUCCGAUAACGAACGAGACUCUGGCCUACUAAAUAGUGGGCGGAUUCUUUCUGUCCGCAACACUUCUUAGAGGGACAAGCGGUGUUCAGCCGCACGAGAUUGAGCAAUAACAGGUCUGUGAUGCCCUUAGAUGUCCGGGGCUGCACGCGCGCUACACUGAAGGAAUCAGCGUGCUUUCUGACCUUGCCCGAAAGGGCUGGGUAACCCGAUGAAAAUCCUUCGUGAUUGGGAUAGGGACUUGCAAUUAUUUCCCUUGAACGAGGAAUUCCCAGUAAGUGUGGGUCAUAAGCUCGCGUUGAUUACGUCCCUGCCCUUUGUACACACCGCCCGUCGCUGCCCGGAACUGAGCUGUUUCAAGAAGAACAGGGACCGUCGUUGAAGGGCCUUAACGGGCUUUUCUCUGAUAGAAACUGUU